UAAUUUUUUUCUGAAGACCUACAGUAUUGCUUUGGAAGGUAUUAAAGUUGAAAGUUUGUUUUCUGAAGAGGUGCAGUGAAACAUUGUUGCUUUGAAAGAAUAUUACGAGAAGAGCUUGAUGGAUAUCGAAAAGCCGCCCUCCAGUUCUUUGGCCUACAGUUCAGUGUACCGUGGAGUUACUAAGCAUAGAUGGACAGGGAGAUAUGAAGUCCAUCUCUGGGACAAAAAGAAAGAUACUAGCAACCGCAAGGGUAAACAAG
Cryptomeria japonica (Japanese cedar) is the source of this 260-nucleotide long non-coding RNA. RefSeq lists it as uncharacterized. NCBI's taxonomy places the organism in Eukaryota, Viridiplantae, Streptophyta, Pinopsida, Cupressales, Cupressaceae. The transcript has 3 exons. The record is from RefSeq and is a predicted model, not a curated record.